This 499-nucleotide ribosomal RNA is filed under the name uncultured bacterium. RNAcentral's name for it is "partial 16S ribosomal RNA". It matches the Rfam family "Bacterial small subunit ribosomal RNA", at positions 28 to 507 of the family's 1533-position model. The record is from RNAcentral.
GACGAACGCUGGCGGCGUGCCUAAUACAUGCAAGUCGAGCGGACCGAACAGGAGCUUGCUCUUGUUCGGUUAGCGGCGGACGGGUGAGUAACACGUGGGUAACCUGCCCGUAAGACCGGGAUAACUCCGGGAAACCGGAGCUAAUACCGGAUAACACCGAAGACCGCAUGGUCUUUGGUUGAAAGGCGGCUUCGGCUGCCACUUACGGAUGGGCCCGCGGCGCAUUAGCUAGUUGGUGAGGUAACGGCUCACCAAGGCGACGAUGCGUAGCCGGCCUGAGAGGGUGACCGGCCACACUGGGACUGAGACACGGCCCAGACUCCUACGGGAGGCAGCAGUAGGGAAUCUUCCGCAAUGGACGAAAGUCUGGCGGAGCGACGCCGCGUGAGCGAAGAAGGUCUUCGGAUCGGAAAGCUCUGUUGUUAGGGAAGAAGAAGCGUCGUUCGAACAGGGCGGCGCGGUGACGGUACCUAACGAGAAAGCCCCGGCUAACUACGUG